Molecule: small RNA, 113 nt
Filed under: Salmonella enterica
Lineage: Bacteria; Pseudomonadati; Pseudomonadota; Gammaproteobacteria; Enterobacterales; Enterobacteriaceae
Description: partial RtT sRNA
Rfam family: RtT RNA
About the family: This family represents a bacterial cis-regulatory element known as RtT RNA. The exact function of RtT is unknown although it is thought that it may be involved in changing the cellular response in relation to amino acid starvation.
Source: RNAcentral
AUGAGAACCUCCGGGGGCAAGAGGUUCGACCCGAGCGCAGCGAGAGAACGUUGCUUCAGCAACGGCCCGCAGGGCGAGCCACGCAGUGGCGAGUCAUCCUCUAUCACCGACCA